Molecule: long non-coding RNA, 1484 nt
Filed under: Cricetulus griseus (Chinese hamster)
Lineage: Eukaryota; Metazoa; Chordata; Mammalia; Rodentia; Cricetidae
Description: lncRNA (ENSCGRG00015038505.1)
Source: RNAcentral
GUUUAACAAUGUGCUUAGGUUUAAGAAAGAAAAGAAAAAGGGUAUAGAUGGUCAGAAAAGUAAAUAAUUUGCUGCAUACACCUUUAGUCCCAGCACUCUGGGCAGAGACAGGCAGGUCUCUGUGAGUUCAAGGCCAGCUGGUCUACGAAGCAAGUUCCAGGACAGGCUCCAAAGCUACAGAAAAACCCUGUCUUGAAAAACAAAAACAAAAAAGUAAAUUAAGAACAAUAAAGUAAAGUAUUUAAAGAGAGAAGUAAAGUAAUAUAUAAAAAAAGAAUAAGCCACAUAGAGAUGGGAAAUACACAGGGAGUCUGGGUCCUGUAUGUUGCUGUAUUAACCUUAAAUUUUUUUAUUUCUGCUAAGCAAAUUACAGCUGCUAAGAGACAUGGGAUUGAAAGAGGGACUGGUGAAAUAAGCCAGUCUAUAUACUUUGGGAAUGCCUUGACUUUAAAAUGGAAGUAAAAAAUGUAUUUGUCAAAUGGAAGUAAAAAAAAAAAAUGCUUUGGGGGAGAGGUUAUGCUUUUGUUUCCACGGGAAAUGAGAGGUUUCGAAUUCCUCCAGGAUUAAUAUCGAUCAGGUUUGAUGAGGGGGAGACCUGAAUCUUAACAGGUAUGAUAUCUGUAAGAGAAAAUGCUCACCACGCCCAUUUGGGGGCUGGACAAGGCGUCGCUGACCACGCCCACUUGGGCUUGGUCAGAGUGACUUAGCAAGGGUUUGAAUAUCAGGGAUGCAAUACACACACGUGGCUCUCUUUUUCCCUCUCCCACCUGGCUGAGCAAACGAGCAGGCAUCCAGUGUAAACCUGGUCACUGGCUCCAUUGGGAUGUAGUCCCUGAGCGGGAGAGCACCCAUAUGAGGCUUGAAACCACAGCCUGAGCGAGGGCAGACGAGAUGCUGAGAUGGGCAGUGCCCCUGCGUCGUUGCUUCUUCCUGGGGAGACCUGGUUCCAUCUCCACCCUCCCACUCCUUGGGAACACGGGACACAGAGCCUGUGGACAUCCCAAGCCAUGCAUUCAAGCCCCAUCUACACUUCCACUAACUGCUAUUAUGUCUUACGAAUGCUAUCUGACCAAGUAAAGGAGGACUGGCAUCGUGCAUACGUUUAGGGUGGUCUGGUGGAUGUUUAUGUGUCUGUGUCUGUCCGGAGUACUUGUGGCGCUGCAGGUGGAGGGCCAGGCCUGCAUGUUCACAGCUGUCCACUAGGUGGCGCCCACGUUCCGCGGAGAGGCCACCAUGGAAGGAGCGUCCACUCUCAGGCUGGCUGAGGCUAUCCCCUCUGCUCCGAAAAAAAAAGAAAGGGAGAUUGUGGAAGGAGAUUGCUUAAUCUCUAAAAUCCCGGUUCCAUAAUACCAAGCCUCUCUUUAGACUUCAUGAGCACGAGAUGAGGUGCUUUUCUCUAGCUAAGCGGCCUAGAGCCACUCAGAGGCAAGGGUUUGGACUCUGACUUUUGUCCCUUCAGACAUCUGAAGCUUCCAGGAAGUAUG